AGAGUUUGAUCAUGGCUCAGGACGAACGCUGGCGGCGUGCUUAACACAUGCAAGUCGAACGCUGAAGCCCAGCUUGCUGGGUGGAUGAGUGGCGAACGGGUGAGUAACACGUGGGUAAUCUGCCCCGUACUCCGGGAUAAGCCCGGGAAACUGGGUCUAAUACCGGAUAGGACACGCUAUCGCAUGGUGGUGUGUGGAAAGCUCCGGCGGUACGGGAUGAGCCCGCGGCCUAUCAGCUUGUUGGUGGGGUGAUGGCCUACCAAGGCGACGACGGGUAGCCGGCCUGAGAGGGUGAUCGGCCACACUGGGACUGAGACACGGCCCAGACUCCUACGGGAGGCAGCAGUGGGGAAUAUUGCACAAUGGGCGCAAGCCUGAUGCAGCGACGCCGCGUGGGGGAUGACGGCCUUCGGGUUGUAAACCCCUUUCGCCCGGGACGAAGCGUAAGUGACGGUACCGGGAGAAGAAGCACCGGCCAACUACGUGCCAGCAGCCGCGGUAAUACGCAGGGUGCAAGCGUUGUCCGGAAUUAUUGGGCGUAAAGAGCUCGUAGGCGGUGUGUCACGUCUGCCGUGAAAACCUGCGGCUUAACCGUGGGCGUGCGGUGGAUACGGGCAUCACUUGAGUUCGGUAGGGGAGACUGGAAUUCCUGGUGUAGCGGUGGAAUGCGC
RNAcentral lists this ribosomal RNA (671 nucleotides) under uncultured bacterium. Its description in RNAcentral is "bacterial SSU rRNA". It matches the Rfam family "Bacterial small subunit ribosomal RNA", at positions 8 to 691 of the family's 1533-position model. The record is from RNAcentral.